GACGUAGGAUGCAAGCGUUGUCCGGAUUUAUUGGGCGUAAAGAGUUCGUAGGUGGUUUGUUAAGUUUGAUGUUAAAGACUGGGGCUCAACCUCGGAAAUGCAUUGGAUACUGGCAGACUUGAGUGCAGUAGAGGCAAGCGGAAUUCCAGGUGUAGCGGUGAAAUGCGUAGAUAUCUGGAAGAACACCGGUGGCGCAAGCCGGGCCUUG
RNAcentral lists this ribosomal RNA (208 nucleotides) under uncultured bacterium. Its description in RNAcentral is "partial 16S ribosomal RNA". It matches the Rfam family "Bacterial small subunit ribosomal RNA", at positions 524 to 733 of the family's 1533-position model. The record is from RNAcentral.